Molecule: long non-coding RNA, 2482 nt
Organism: Strongylocentrotus purpuratus (purple sea urchin)
Lineage: Eukaryota; Metazoa; Echinodermata; Echinoidea; Camarodonta; Strongylocentrotidae
Exons: 3
Source: RefSeq, a predicted model, not a curated record
UUUUUACAUAAUAGCAGUGAAGGGCUGUCCCUUUGUCUACCUGAGGAACUGUAUAUUUUGUCCGCUUUUAUUGUCUGUCAUGUUCAUAGUGUAGUCUGAUCUAUGUACAUAAUGCAUGCAGUACAUACCUGCGAAGUUCGUUCGUGAGCUGAGCCUGGGCCUGCCUGUGAUUUGAAUUGGAUUGGGAUCAAGGGAAGACAUCUUCAAAGGGCGAAACAUCUAUUAUCUUGUAAUAGAAGGAUCUGUCGUCAAUGAUGGAAUAGCCACAUUCCGGGAAGCAGUGAUCACACUGUUCUGCUGUUUCUACGCUCUUUCCCUAGAGUACCCACCAGAGGGAUCAGUCACUAUGGAGUUCAUCCAAAGGGAACUCAUUGGCAUCAGUCCUGGGAGUCCAGUAAAGAGUGGAGGAAAGAAGAAGAAGAAAUCGGCCGUGUCUCCAAAGAUAAUUGCCCUCCUUCGUGGAAUCGUAGAGUUCGAAUCUGACUGGAAAACAGAGUAGCAGACAUCCAGCUCUCAUUUUUUAUGCUUCUGUCAAUUUGUUUUGAGAUGUGCUUUAUUAUGCACGAUUUUUAUUGUGACGAAUACAUGGAUGAGACAAUGUGAUGUAAGAAACCUGUAAAUUUCUAUUAUUUGUGCCUCAUCUUGAAAGCCUUUUCUCAACAUCCCCAACAUAAUGCAAAUAAAAUAUAUAUAAGUAUUAGUAUAGUAUAGGAUGUAUGCAUCCAGAUGUGAAAGGCUUUGAUUUUUGGAAAGAGCCAAGAUAGUCCUUGCCAAGGAACAAAGUGAGUUUUUUAGAUUUUGUUGGUAAUGUAAGAAAACCUCAGCAGGUCCUAUUUAUAAUUUUAUACCUAUAUAAUUUGUAUAUUUGUUCUUUUGAAGGUUGUUUAUAGUGUUUUCUUGAUGAUAUAUGCUACAGUAUGCAAACAUUAUACCAUGUUGGUGUUUACCCUGGUCAACUUUAUAUACAGGGUGUCCCAUGAACAAUGCCUGACACACUUCUGAUAGCACACAGAUCAACUUAUUAAUACCAUUGGUAAGAGCAACAUUUCCUUAAGGCCCUGUCACAUUAGGCUUGCAUGUGACUUGCAAGGAAAUUUGUUUUGCUACCCAGGGGUCUGCGAUACUGCGAUACAACAAUAUUACAUUUUGAAAUAGUUGAGAAGAGGAUCGGUUGAAAAAUACAAAUUUUUGAGGUGCUGAGUAUGUACUAAUUUGUGUUUUCAAAGGUUGGCAGCUAUGCUAUGUACAUCAUCUUCAUCUUUUAUUGGAAACAUGUACAUAUUUUUCAUUGAGGCAAGUGGGUAUUUUGAGAACAAAAAUAGACAUUUGUAUGCUGUUUAGGAAAAUAAUGUACAUUAUGCCAUCUUCAAUCAUGAGAACUGAUGGCCAUAUUAAUUUGAUAUUCUUGGCCCGAACUCACAAAGGAGGCUUAAAGGAGAAUAAAAGUUAGACAGUCACAUGAUUUCAGUGAAUGGAGAAGAACAACAAGACUUAACAGUAAAAGUUUGAGCAAAUUUGGAUAAUCCGUUUUCGAGUUAUGUAUUUUUGAAGUUUUAGAAAAUCCUUAUUAUGGACUUCCUUAAGUUGGCAACUUCGCCAGAAUUUGUGAUGUCAUUGUGCUCAACUCUCCAUUGGUUAUGUACAGAGAGUUUCACUUUUUUCUAAUUUUCAUCAAAAAUAAUAUUUCCGCCAGUGUAUUUUGUUUUUGUAUGACAUGGCUACAUCAAUUCUGCAGUAUGUCUGAAAGAAUCAAUACAAUUGCCCUUUUAAUAUUUUAUAAAAAUAAAAUGUUGUGAAAUCAUGGUCUAUGUAGAUUUUGUGUAUAAUUUGCGCUUAAUUUAGCGUGUAUGCUGAGAAAGGUCCAAUAUGAAGGCACGCUGUAUGGCAAAGGGCGCUCAAUUCAUGCUUGUUGCUAUGAUUUUAAACCAUAGCUUUAAACCAUGGCAAAAAUCAUGAAUUUCUAGUACUUUGCCAAAAGCGUGCAUUUAUACUGGAUCUUUGUCAGCUAAUCAUACACAAAAUCUGCAUAAACCAUGAGAGAGAGAGGAAAUAAAAUUUCACCUGCGCCAGAAGUGGUGGCAUGUCGAUCAUGAAUUAGCAAUAAAUGAUAUACCUCGGUUAAACAUGACUCUUUACGAUUUCAUAUCAUGGGGGGGGGGGGGCACCCCGUAGGCUAUAUAGUUUUUUGUUACAUUUUAUAUCUUUGUUACUCACUGAAGUUUGCUUUUAUUGUUUUCUUGUUGAUUAAGCUCCUUGCAGAUCAGUAUUUACAUGUUUGUAAUUGGUAAUGAUAAAUGAACCCUUUUAAAACUACAAAAUGUUGCAGUUGUUUGUUAGGCCAUAUAGUUUUUGUUACAUUUGAUAUAUUUGCUACUUACUGAAGUUUGCUUUUAUUGUUUUACUGUUGAUUAAGCUCCUUGCAGAUCAGUAUUUACAUGUUUGUAAUUGGUAAUGAUAAAUAAACCCUUGAAAAACUACAAAA